RNAcentral lists this ribosomal RNA (397 nucleotides) under uncultured bacterium. RNAcentral's name for it is "partial 16S ribosomal RNA". It matches the Rfam family "Bacterial small subunit ribosomal RNA", at positions 523 to 918 of the family's 1533-position model. The record is from RNAcentral.
AUACGUAGGGGGCGAGCGUUGUCCGGAAUGAUUGGGCGUAAAGGGCGCGUAGGCGGCCCGGUAAGUCUGGAGUGAAAGUCCUGUUUUUAAGAUGGGAAUUGCUUUGGAUACUGUCGGGCUUGAGUGUAGGAGAGGUAAGUGGAAUUCCCAGUGUAGCGGUGAAAUGCGUAGAGAUUGGGAGGAACACCAGUGGCGAAGGCGACUUACUGGACUGUAACAGACACUGAGGCGCGAUAGUGAGGGGAGCAAACAGGAUGAGAUACCCUGGUAGUCCACACUGUAAACGAUGAGUGCGAAUUGUUGGAGGGUUUCCGCCCUUGAGUGCUGCAGCGAACGAAUUAAGCACUCCGCCUGGGGAGUACGACCGCAAGGUUGAAACUCAAAUGAAUUGACGGGG